RNAcentral lists this ribosomal RNA (233 nucleotides) under uncultured bacterium. RNAcentral's name for it is "partial 16S ribosomal RNA". It matches the Rfam family "Bacterial small subunit ribosomal RNA", at positions 105 to 334 of the family's 1533-position model. The record is from RNAcentral.
ACGGUGAGUAACACGUAUCCAACCUGCCGUCUACUCUUGGCCAGCCUUCUGAAAGGAAGAUUAAUCCAGGAUGGCAUCAUGAGUUCACAUGUCCGCAUGAUUAAAGGUAUUUUCCGGUAGACGAUGGGGAUGCGUUCCAUUAGAUAGUAGGCGGGGUAACGGCCCACCUAGUCUUCGAUGGAUAGGGGUUCUGAGAGGAAGGUCCCCCACAUUGGAACUGAGACACGGUCCAA